Molecule: long non-coding RNA, 367 nt
Filed under: Olea europaea (common olive)
Lineage: Eukaryota; Viridiplantae; Streptophyta; Magnoliopsida; Lamiales; Oleaceae
Description: long non-coding RNA (OEUR_LNC006172)
Source: RNAcentral
ACAGCGGCAAGGUCCUAUGGCUUGGAAGUUGAUGGUCAUGAAAAUCGUCUCACCCGAUCUCGAACUUAGUGGUCCAAUCUCGGCCUCCGAUGGUUACCUCACCAUUGAGGUCGGGCCUCCACAGUAAGGUCGGGCCAUAUGUCAUUUAACGUAAUCUCUCUCUCCCACAUGAAGUUAAUCCUACUUCGACUAUAAUUCCUCAUGACCCUUAGCCACAUUAUUAACCUAUUAUGGUUCGAUUUAAACUCUAACGGAACACUUUCAAUACAUCACAAACGCUUUGCAUGAUAAGGAUAAAGGUUACAGGUAGUUGAAUCCUUUUACAACUCCACCAUCUACAUCUAUGAAUACAUGAUCAAGGUUCAUU